GGGAGAAGCUGCAUUUCUGACUCAUCUGGUGGUUUCUUAAAUAUUUUGUUACUUCUUAUAGGUGGCAAAGAAACACAGCAUGAUGUUUGGAAAUACAAUUCUUCAAUCAACAAGUGGAUUCAGAUUGAAUAUUUAAACAUCGGCCGCUGGAGGCAUAAAAUGGUGGUGUUGGGUGGCAAGGUCUAUGUCAUUGGAGGUUUUGAUGGCUUACAGAGGAUCAACAAUGUGGAGACCUACGACCCCUUCCACAACUGCUGGUCGGAGGUAUGGGAGAUUAUUUCUAUGACUAACUCUAUCUGUAUUAUUACUUCAGAGCUAAAAAAAAAAAAAAGAAAGGCACAUGCCUAUGACGGUGGCCAGCAUUUUGAUUGCCUUGCUCCUAUGGAGAACAUUUUUGGUGGCUCUGAACAUUCCCUUCCCUAGGAGUCAGGGCUUCAGCAUUGCUGAUCAAGGCAAAGCAAUAAUGUCCUUCCAGGUGGGGAGGCUUUCUCUGGGCAGCCAGAGCCCUCUGUGUGGAGGCUGUGGAGGGGAGGCUUACCCUGCCCUGAGAUGGUAGAUCCCAUGGCACAUGUCUGGCUCAGAAUCUUGUCCCCUCAGAUGCAUUCCAUGAGAUUCGUCUCCACACCAGGCAUGCGGGCAUCCGCACACUGCACUGUUUGUGAACCUAGAGUCAUUUGGUCAUGUUUAGAAGUCAGCCCUUAUUUAUUUCCCCAUUAAUGAUGAACCAUUUACAUGCCCACAUGUAAGACUCUCAAUGUGACCUCAGGUGUAUGUCAUACCCAGGAAAAGUAAAGUGACUUCGCCUCCUGUAGUUCCAGGUUAUUCUCAAGUUCAAAUUUUCUUUCUUCUCAUCAGAGCAUAUUCCAGCUUUGGGAAGUAUAAAACACAGUCACUGUAGGUACAAGCAAAGGUCCCCAGAUCACCACAACAUCCAAAGAAGGCCUGUCAACCUGAAAAGUGCUAUAUAGGGAGCCCUUAACAUCUCUGGGGGUGUGCCCAACAUGUUCCCCAAUCAUCAAGUCCCAUCAUAAAGUUACUCCAUGACUCAAAGGGGUUAUGCAAAUAGGUAAUAGGCUCUUGAAAUUCUUUUUAGUAUCCUGGGAUUUACAAGGUAGAAGUACAAGUCUGUCUUAAUCCCCAAAGUUGCAAUGUGCCCCCAAAUGGCUGGUUAAACCCAUAUACUAGCUUUUCUUCCUGGAUAUAAACACUAAAGACAAUCAAUGCUGUCACAUAGUAGGUACUCAGAUAUUUUCUGAAUGAACAUGUAAAUGAAUAUAUAUGUUUGAAAAAUCAUUUUCCUCCAACAUUGGCUGACUUCAUCUAUAUAACACUAAUUUCUGCCUGUACCCUCUCCUUCCUUGAGAACUAGACUCGGGAAAACAGGUGGGAACAUCCCAACACACAGCUUGCCCUAGCCUGCCUGUAUGGAGGCUGGGAAAUGCAUGCUUUGAUUCUCUCCACAUCUUAAGGAGAGUCAAGCCCACAGGCCUUGUCAGUUCAGGAGAAGGAUGCCCAGGUUUGCAUCCCAGGACAUAUGUCCUGUGAGUUCUUCCAGCAAUUUAGGCAGCAUAGCUGACACCUUUUUCUUGUGCCCCAUGCCUCUGCAGGCUGCACCCCUCCUUGUCCAUGUCAGUUCUUUCGCCGCCACCAGCCACAAGAAGAAGCUCUAUGUGAUUGGGGGAGGGCCUAAUGGAAAACUGGCCACAGACAAAACUCAGUGUUAUGACCCUUCCACCAAUAAAUGGACUUUAAAGGCAGCCAUGCCUGUGGAGGCUAAAUGCAUCAAUGCAGUGAGUUUCCGGGACCGCAUCUAUGUUGUUGGUGAGUGAGUGACAGCUUUUUAUUUAUCUGAGGUCCCCCUUCAUGCAGCUAUGCCAGAGAUCAGAUAUAAUUCUCUUGAGAAUUCCUGGAUGAAGUGGGUAGAGCUGAAAAGGAAGAAAAGUUGGGGUUGGUUCAGGUCUUGGUGGAUUUUCCUUUACAGUCCUAAAGGCAGAAUAAAAACUGUUUAGGGGUAACAAAACAGAUGGACACUGUGGCCCAGAGGAAGAGGCCUGAAGUCAUUGCAGGAGGAAAGUUGUUUUGCAAACAUUAGGAAUGUAUAGAAGUUGAAAUGUGCAUGGUAUAAUAAGUGCUCAACCAGUGGCAGCUAUUAUUACUUCCUAGUUUGUGUUCAUGGAAAUUUCUCUCUCGCUGCUUUUUAAGGGCUCUGAAAAGUUACAUUUAGUUGAGAGAAAAGUCUAGCCAGCCAGACCACAGUUGGCAUGUAUUUGUUAAGGAUGGUGGCUCCCAGUUAGAAUAACCAGGGAGCUUUUGAAAAAACUAUGGAUAACUGGUUCCUACCCCAGACCAAUGAAAUCAGAAUUCAGGAGGGAAGGAGGUUGCUGGGGAACAGUACAAUUUAUUAUUAUUUUUUUAAUCUCCGGGUGAUUUUAAUGAGCAGCCAGGGUAGAGAACUACUGAUGAAGGAGAUGCCGAGAUGCCAAGAUGCCAGGAAAUAAAUAACUUCAGUGAAUGAGAGCUAAUCAGAGAAGGCAUUUGGGGGCAAAACAUUGGAACAGAUUAAGGGGAAAACACUUUUCUCCCUUGCUUUAGAUUUCUCCUGUGUUCAUGGUUAGUUUCCUGACUGUUCCAAAAGUCUAAUCUCAAGAUGGUUACCUUGGGCUUGUGUCUCAGAUCAUGCUGAGUCUCUGAAGAGAUGCCAACCCGGCUACUGCCAGGGAUGGAUGAUUUCUAUCAACCAGUGCUCUACCGGAUGCUUUAUGUGCAUCUUAGGACCACCAUGGUCUUGGUGCCCAUGGUAACAGAAUAAAAAGUGCAGAGCUGGGAUUAUGGACCACAUCUUCCAAAGGCACCAUAUUUCUUCCCAGGAGCAGUCUUAAGGUACAUUUUGGUAGCUACGUUAAGCCAGUUGUUCUUUAGAAACCACGACUGCAGAAUUGGAAGGACAUUGUGAGUCAUCUCGGUGGCAACUUGCUGCUCCUAGGAUGCAUCCUGGCUUUCUGGGAAAGGGCCAUCAAUCCACUGUUUCUCUUGGCAAGAUGGGAGUCCUGCCCUAACCGGAAGUAGAAUUUUAGUGGCUAACGGGAUAGAAACCCAGAAAAAUGGUAGGAUGCUUCCCCUGUGUGUUCUUCCUCUCCAGGAGGGGCCAUGAGAGCGCUGUACGCCUACAGCCCUCUGGAGGACAGCUGGUGCCUGGUGACGCAGCUCAGCCACGAGCGGGCCAGCUGCGGCAUCGCGCCCUGCAACAACCGGCUCUACAUCACCGGCGGGCGGGACGAGAAGAACGAGGUCAUCGCCACUGUACUGUGUUGGGACCCCGAGGCUCAGAAACUGACGGAGGAGUGCGUCCUGCCCCGGGGGGUGUCGCACCACGGCAGCGUCACCAUCAGGAAGUCCUACACCCACAUCCGGAGGAUCGUGCCCGGAGCUGUGUCUGUGUGACUGACAAGGGACCCUGGAGGGCGCCACCGGGAGCACUUAGUUCUACCUUGCGCCCUUCAUCCGUGUCCACCCGCAGGCUCCGCUUGUGUUUAAGGCCAUGAAUCGGGAGCGCACCCGGCUUGCUCUGGGGCACCUAGCAAGUCACGACUUUGGAACACUUGAAAAUGGCCAGGAAUGUUUGCAUGACCUACCUCAGGAGGAAGGAUGGAAGAAGAGUAAUAUUUAACAUUUGCGACACUUCUACCCUAUGCCAGGUCUUUUUCUAUAUUAACUCAUUUAACCAUGGGAAUGACCGCCUGCUGGGAUAUUGUCACUCUAGUCUGAGAAGAAACUGAGUUUCAGAAAGGUCAAGUGGCUUGCCCCCGGGUACUCAUUUAGCAAGUAGCUAUGCCAGGAGUAUAAACCCAAGUCUUUCCAGUUCAAAGCCAAUGUCCUCCCCACCAUGUGCCUAACUGAGAGGAGGAAAAUCAAAACCCAAACCUGACUCAGGUCUUGUUCUGGCCAGUCUGUUAGAAGAUUGACUCAGCAAGGCAGGGAAAUAAAGGUGUUUCUUUUUCCUUUUUUUUUUUUCCUUUUCACUCCUGUAUUUAAAUCUUAUGAAAUCCUUAGUGUUGGAGACUUUGGGGGCUUUUGUCAAGAGUGUCUCAUAGGCUGUCCCACUUGACAGGGGAGGCAGUUCUGGGAAGACCAGUUUGUAUUGAAAGAGAUAAAAAGUUUUGUUCUCCUGGCAUCAAAGCUUUUCUUUUUUAUGGUCACUGGAUGGCCCAUUUUGGACUUGAACUGACAUUGCCAGAUGGAAUUACCUUCACCACAGUCUGGUGCCUGGACUCUUAAUGUCCAACAGUUGUACUGUAAUGUAGAAAAGAGGUUUCCAGAGACUCAAACUAUUGUUUUUUAAAUAUGUAAACAUCUCAACACUGCUGGCCACUGCAGGAAUGUCAGAUUCUUCUUGACAGUGUACUUUCUACUUUAAGACUGUGAUCUGGACCCACUCACCUGAAGUUUUCAGGAUAUUUUAAAGCCUAUCUUCUUGAGUUUUGAAUAAGCUUGGCUCAAUUUUGAUUCUAAGAACAGAGUCUGCCCUUCACUCUAAGAAAAGAACUUUCAAAUGAGCUCACUGGAAAUUCAUUCUAAUCCCCAAGAUAGAGAAACAGGUUAAGAGAUCCUGUUUCAUACGCUGUAGUUAAAAACAUAGCAACUGCAUUACCCCAGGUACUUUAUUUUCAUUGUAUGAUUUCAGUUCUCUUUAUAGAGUUUUAGUUCAUGUCAGAAGGGGCAUAUUGUGCUUGUACAAUAUGUACAGUGGUUUGGGAAGUCAGAGGUAUUAGAGUUGAUAGUGAACUUAAUUUACAGAAAAAAAGUUAAGGUCAAGUCAAGUGUGGUGGUCUAAGCCUGUAAUCCCAGGGACUUGGGCGGCUGAGGCAGGAGGAUCGCAACUUCCAGGUCAGCCUAGGCAACUUAGUGAGCCCCUGUUUCAAAAUAAAAUUAAAAGGGUAGGGAUGUACUCAGUGGUAGAGUACCCCUGGAUUCAAUCCCCAGUUCCACAAAAGGAAAAAAAAAUUAUGGUCAGAAGAACUUAAUGUUGUAAAUGUAUAUUUAAAACUUGGAAAAUUAUAUCUCUAUUUAUGCCUAGCUUGUUGAAGAUAAAUAUAAAUACAUGUUGGUGUGUAAAAUGCUCUGCCUUAGGGUCAGGUGAUCUAUCCCCUGAGAAGAAAAUUAAGACGGGUCAAUGCACACAUACUUAUGGAUAUUGAGAACACACUGUCAUGCACCACAAGCUCUAAUGACCUUCACAAAGCUCUCAACUGCAACAAUUUAAUCUAGUUCAGCAAUGUUAUCUAGUUCAUUGCAUGUUUGUCAAUCUUGGAAAUCAAAUCUCUACCCUAGAGACCUCAAUAAACGGGUAAGUGGGCCACCAAUCAAUAUUCUAAUUUUUCUUUUCUUCAAGUUAGCCAAAAAUGAGAUGCAUACUUAUGGGGCUGAGUCCAAAACUUGAUUGCCUGUCAAGGGGGUCUCUUCUGAGAGCUGUGCACUUAGGUCAACUAGUGGUGAUUUCUUACAUGUUUGUCUCUUGCAGAUCACUGUCUGAGCCAUUUGUGACCUACAGGAAAAAUCAGUCUUAGUCCAAAGGCUAUUUCAGGGAAGAGAUUCCAAAGAGGAAAUCCAAUGACAACAUCACUGGCAUACAACUCUCAGAAAGAGAAUGUUCCUUGCCAGGGAUCCAAUGGGUACUGUCCUUUGAUAGAAGCAAUCAGCAAACUUACAGUUCUUUAGAGGUGUGUGUGUAUGUGUGUGGGGGGGUGUUUAAGAUUGUGCUGGGAAAGUGAGGACAUAGGAUCUCUAAGUUAUAAACCUGAUUCUAAAUGCAGUUCUGAAGUUUCAGGGGUAAUUCAUAAUGUCUAAGUUCACACAAGGGGAGGAGUCUCUAUGAUUUUUGUAACACCAAUAAACAUGUGAAUUGUGGUAAAGUUACAGGUAUUCAAGAUCCAGGAGUUCUUAAUAAUAAUGUGGGUCAGGGGACAGAUUUACCUAUUAAGAAGAUCUAGAGUGGUGCAUGCCUGUUAUCCCAGCAGUUCGGGAGGCUGAGGCCGAAGGAUUGAGAGUUCAAAGCCAGCCUCAGCAAAAGCAAGGUGCUAAGCAACUCAGUGAGACCCUGUCUCUAAAUAAAAUACAAAAUAGGACUGUGGAUUUGGCUCAGUGGCUGAGUGCCCCUGAGUUCAAUCCUUGGAAAACCCCCCUCCAAAAAAAGAUCUAGGGUUCUGCAUUUGAAGCUGCCAGCCUGUAGCUUUUAGGAAAGGAAAAAAAGUUCAAGUCAUUUUGGGGAAACUUUGCAAGUAUAGUCAUCAGAGUUUAAGCUUCUAGGCACUAGAAGCUCUUAAAAUCUACUUUUCAUUCCAAGUUAAUAAAACAAAAUCCCAAGUUUGCACCAAGUUAAUGGUUAUGUACCACCAAUAUGGGGAGAGCAAGCUGAGGCUAACCCAGAAACAACCCCAGGACUCAGAGGGGGGAUAGAAGGAGGUUCUGCCACAGUUGGCAUGUUGAGGCAGGGCCUCUGCAUGGAUAGACAUGGUAGAGGAGGAGGAGGUCAGGUUUUGAAGAUGAGGGUCUAGAAAAUGAUAUUGCGGCCCAGGAGUUUGUAAGUGUGACUCCAGUCCCAAGAAGGGCAAGAAAGAAUAAAGGAGCAGGGGACUUGCACACAAGGAAACAAAGAGGGAACCUACUUCCUAGAACUGAGGCACAAGUUAGAGCAGGGCCAACAGUUGGGGCAAUUUGCUGUGGGGCCUGUGAGCUGCCUGGUUGGGUCUUGCAUCCUAAUGGAGAUAACAAGACCCAGAGCCUUUGAUGGAGUAGAAUCUGUAGAAGAGGUUAAGGCUGGUCAAGGCUGGUCUGACAGGCAGGGAGUUAAGCUCACCAAAACACUGACAGAUAAAUGUCUUCUUCUUUGCUUUCAGCCAUUCUGGUCUCAGUGGUUUCAGGAAACACACACAUGUAAAACUCCAUGUCCUUGAACUCAAAGUAACCAUGCUCUCAGGGAAAUAACAAUUAUCAUUCUCAACAUUCUUUUAUAGCUGUGAAAGCAUAGCUUUGCUAUUUAUAAAAGUUGAGGUAGUAGUGUUCAUUCUUUACUUGUCCUAUUUGAUUUUGAAAAAUAAAAGUACUCCAUAAUUUUUAAAGUGAGUAGACAUCAAUGGAUUUUUUUUUUUGUAUGAAGUCCUAAUUUGGGGUUGCAAAGUCAUUUUUUCUUCUAAGUGUUAGAUCUCAUGAUUCAAAGAGUCAACUUCCAUGUAAAUUCCCAUAUGUCUCAAAUAUAGGUACUGCAAAGCCAGUCCUGACAGGUCAGAUUUUUAUAUUUAUAGGCAUAAAUAGUGAACCAAACCAUUUAAGCAUUUUUGGUUUCAUGAGAUUGUAGUUUUUUUAAGUGAUCAAAGCAAGGAUGUUGUUUAUAGGUUAAAGAAGUUUUAAUUUAUUCAAUAAAAUGUGUAUGGAAUGGAUAAGAAUGUGUUGUAUAUAAUCAAUGAUUUUUUUUUACUUCUUUUGGUUGAUAUGAAUAAAUACUAUCUGAAUUGAAAUUAAA
RNAcentral lists this long non-coding RNA (7516 nucleotides) under Marmota monax (woodchuck). The record is from RNAcentral. Lineage: Eukaryota; Metazoa; Chordata; Mammalia; Rodentia; Sciuridae.